GACGAACCGAGCGACCGUUGUUCGGAAUCACUGGGCUUAAAGGGCGCGUAGGCGGGCAUCAUAGUCUGUGGUGAAAUCCGGCAGCUUAACUGUCGAAUUGCCAUGGAUACUGGGUGUCUCGAGGGAGGCAGGGGUGCGCGGAACUAAUGGUGGAGCGGUGAAAUGCGUUGAUAUCAGGAGGAACACCAAUUGCGAAGGCAGCUCGCUGGGACGUAACUGACGCUGAGACGCGAAAGCGUGGGGAGCAAACAGG
This 253-nucleotide ribosomal RNA is filed under the name uncultured bacterium. Its description in RNAcentral is "partial 16S ribosomal RNA". It matches the Rfam family "Bacterial small subunit ribosomal RNA", at positions 524 to 776 of the family's 1533-position model. The record is from RNAcentral.